This 65-nucleotide transfer RNA is filed under the name Ancyrocephalus mogurndae. RNAcentral describes it as "tRNA-Arg". The record is from RNAcentral. Lineage: Eukaryota; Metazoa; Platyhelminthes; Monogenea; Dactylogyridea; Ancyrocephalidae.
GCUGGUAAACUAAAGGUUAGGUGCAUAUUUCGGCUAUGCUUUUGGUGCUUGGGCACCUACUAGUU